GGGUGGGUGAUAUGGGGGCGUGGGAGGUUGUUUUUCUUUUCGUUUUUAGCAGAACGUGGAUGCGCGGUGGGUUGGUUUCGAGAUUUUUUUUAUCGUGCGACCGUGAGAUUUUUUCUGUCGAUGGUUGUUGAUGUACUAAGGUUUUUUUAUUGAACUAAUCGGCUGGUUUAUCGCCUGGUUUAUGGAGGGAUUAAAAAAAAUCGGUGGAACGAUGAAAAGGCUAACGGUAGGAGGGGGAUCGCUCGAGGUCGAACCAUCACGACAGACGACAGAUCCCCUUUAAUAGUAGAGACUUUUGAGAUAUAUUUCAUAAAUAAUAAAGUAUACGAAGCAUGUAACAAAAUAUUGUGUCAAAAGCAAAAUAUAUUGGAUUGAAGUCAAACGGGUUGCCAUAUCUUUCAUACUUCUAAAGAUUCGAGUUGCUGGUGAGUUCACUUCUCUCCCUCUUACUCUUACAGGUGGGACCUGAUGCAACAGCGACCGGAAUAAAAAAAGUGACUCUGAACCCAUCUCUUCUCAAACAGUCCCCAGUCUUGUUCUUCAGCCGCCUCUACUCCAUCGUUGUCCACCGGCGCUCAAAAGUUUGAAUCUUCAUCUCUUUCAUUGGCGGUACUGCCCACAGAUGUGUCCCUCUCC
Molecule: long non-coding RNA, 636 nt
Filed under: Hordeum vulgare
Lineage: Eukaryota; Viridiplantae; Streptophyta; Magnoliopsida; Poales; Poaceae
Description: long non-coding RNA (HVUL_LNC006833)
Source: RNAcentral